UUCGCAAUGCCCGAAAGGGUGACGAAGCGACGCCGCGUGGGUGAGGAAGGCCUUCGGGUUGUAAAGCCCUGUCAGGAGUUAAGAAAUGUAGACUCGCUAAUAUCGGGUCUAUUUGACAAAGGCUCCAAAGGAAGCCACGGCUAACUCUGUGCCAGCAGCCGCGGUAAUACAGAGGUGGCAAGCGUUGUUCGGAAUUAUUGGGCGUAAAGAGCACGUAGGUGGAUUUGUAAGUCAGACGUGAAAGCCUUCUGUUCAACGGAAGAAUUGCAUCUGAAACUACAAACCUUGAGUGUAGGAGGGGAGAAUGGAACUUCUGGUGGAGCGGUGAAAUGCGUAGAUAUCAGAAGGAACGCCGGCGGCGAAAGCGAUUCUCUGGCCUAUUACUGACACUCAGUGUGCGAAAGCUAGGGGAGCAAACGGGAUUAGAUACCCCGGUAGCCCUAGCCGUAAACGAUGGGCACUAAGUAGAGGGGUUUU
Molecule: ribosomal RNA, 477 nt
Filed under: Candidatus Scalindua marina (nom. nud.)
Lineage: Bacteria; Pseudomonadati; Planctomycetota; Candidatus Brocadiia; Candidatus Brocadiales; Candidatus Scalinduaceae
Description: bacterial SSU rRNA
Rfam family: Bacterial small subunit ribosomal RNA
Source: RNAcentral